AAAGGUAAAAACACCUCCAGAUAAGGAAUAGGAACAGGCUAUGACCUAAUGCUUGCUUGGACCAGUAUAAGCAUGCCAGGGCAAAUAUUUAGGCUAAAAUGUGGGAGCUAAGAACACAAAGUACAUUGAUUUCUUUAUCACGGCUAGCAGAUAUCUAAGAAUGUCAGCACAGGUGUUUGAAUACAUUUUGCUUCUAAGAGAAGUUACUAUUUAUUCCUAAUUACACAAGGAGGAAAGUCCCUUUGAAAAGGAACCUCUAUUUCACAUUUUACAAUGAGCACAAUAUAGUUUUGCAUUGGUGUAUAUGAAUUUGAAUGAGCAAACAGCUCUUCAAGUUUUUGGGGUUUUUUUGUUUGUUUUGUUUUUUGGGUUUUUGUUUUUUGUUUUUGAGACGGAGUCUCACUCUGUCAUCAGGCUGGAGUGCAGUGGCACGAUCUUGGCUCACUGCAACCUCCGCCUCCUGCGUUCAAGUAUUCCCCUGCCUCAGCCUCCCAAGUAGCUGUGACUAAAGUCGUGCACCACAACGUCUGGCCAAUUUUUUGUAUUUUAGUAGAGACGAAGUUUCACCAUAUUGGCCAGGCGAGUCUCAAACCCCUGACCUGGUGAUCCACCCACCUCAGCCUCCCAAAGUGCUUGGAUUAUAGGCAUGAGCCUCAGCGCCCAGCCCUCUUCAAGUUUUUAUAAACCAGUUUCAGAAGUUAUGUGUUCUCAUUUUGCCCAAGACCUUUGGCCGGAGCAGAAUAUAAAAGAUUCUUUCCAAAAAGUGACACUGAAAAGAUAUGGAAAAUGUAGACAUGAGAAUUUACCUUUAAGAAAAGGCUGUGAAAGUAUGGAUGAGUGUAAGAUGCACAAAGGAGGUUAUAAUGGACUUAACCAAUGUCUCACAGCUACCCAGAGCAAAAUAUUUCAAUGUGAUAAAUAUGUAAAAGUCGCUCAUAAAUUUUCAAAUUCAAACAGACAUGAGAUAAGACAUACUAAAAAGAAACCUUUCAAAUGUAGAAAAUGUGGCAAAUCAUUUCGCAUGAUUUCAUGCCUAACUGAACAUAGCAGAAUUCAUACUAGAGUAAAUUUCUACAAAUGUGAAGAAUGUGGAAAAGCCUUUAACUGGUCCUCAACCCUUACUAAACAUAAGAGAAUUCAUACGGGAGAGAAACCUUACAAAUGUGAAGAAUGUGGUAAAGCCUUUAACCAGUCCUCAAACCUUAUUAAACAUAAGAAAAUUCAUACUGGAGAGAAACCCUACAAAUGUGAAGAAUGUGGCAAAACUUUUAACCGAUCCUCAACUCUUACUACCCAUAAGAUAAUUCAUACUGGAGAGAAACCCUACAAAUGUAAAGAAUGUGGUAAAGCUUUUAACCGAUCUUCAACCCUUACUACCCAUAGAAAAAUUCAUACUGGAGAGAAACCUUACAAAUGUGAAGAAUGUGGCAAAGCCUUUAAGCAGUCCUCAAACCUUACUACACAUAAGAUAAUUCAUACUGGAGAGAAACCCUACAAAUGUAAAAAAUGUGGAAAAGCCUUUAACCAGUCUGCACACCUUACUACACAUGAGGUAAUUCAUACUGGAGAGAAACCCUACAAAUGUGAAAAAUGUGGAAAAGCCUUUAAUCAUUUCUCACACCUUACUACACAUAAGAUAAUUCAUACUGGAGAGAAACCUUACAAAUGUAAAGAAUGUGGUAAAGCUUUUAAACACUCUUCAACCCUUACUAAACAUAAGAUAAUUCAUACUGGAGAGAAGCCUUACAAAUGUAAAGAAUGUGGAAAAGCUUUUAACCAAUCCUCAAAACUUACUGAACAUAAGAAAAUUCAUACUGGAGAGAAACCCUAUGAAUGUGAAAAAUGUGGCAAAGCUUUUAACCAGUCCUCAAAUCUUACUAGACAUAAGAAAAGUCACACUGAAGAGAAACCUUACAAAUGUGAAGAAUGUGGCAAAGGUUUUAAAUGGCCCUCAACCCUUACUAUCCAUAAGAUAAUUCAUACUGGAGAGAAACCAUACAAAUGUGAAGAAUGUGGCAAAGCUUUUAACCAAUCCUCGAAACUUACCAAACAUAAGAAAAUUCAUACUGGAGAGAAACCCUACACAUGUGAAGAAUGUGGCAAAGCCUUUAACCAGUCCUCAAACCUUACUAAACAUAAGAGAAUUCAUACUGGAGAAAAACCUUACAAAUGUGAAGAAUGUGACAAAGCUUUUAAAUGGUCCUCAGUCCUUACUAAACAUAAGAUAAUUCAUACUGGAGAAAAAUUAUAAAUAUGAAAAUUAUGGCAAAGCUUUUAACCAAUUUACAAGUCUUACUAAACACAAGAAAAUUUAUACUGGAGAGAAACUACUAACCUGAAAGAUGUGACAAUAAUUUUGACAACACCUCAGACUUGUAAUCAUACUGGUGAGAAAUUCUAAAAAUGUGAAGAAUAUGGCAAAGUCUUUAAAUGGUUGUCACACUUUAUUUUAGGUAAGAUAAUUCAUAUUGGAACAAACUACAAGUGCGAACAAUGUGGCAAAACUUUAUGCUCACACCUUAUUGCACAGAAAAGAAUUUUUAGUUGAGAAAAAGUAUACAAAUAUAAAGAAUGUGGAAAAGCCGUUAAUAUCUGCUCACGUCUUACUCAGCAUCAGAAAGUACUUAAUAAAAGCAUUAUAAAUGGAA
This 2648-nucleotide small RNA is filed under the name Pan troglodytes (chimpanzee). RNAcentral describes it as "processed transcript". Lineage: Eukaryota; Metazoa; Chordata; Mammalia; Primates; Hominidae. The record is from RNAcentral.